Long non-coding RNA from Peromyscus eremicus (cactus mouse), 1553 nucleotides. RefSeq lists it as uncharacterized. The transcript has 2 exons. Lineage: Eukaryota; Metazoa; Chordata; Mammalia; Rodentia; Cricetidae. The record is from RefSeq and is a predicted model, not a curated record.
UUAAAUGUUUGUGGUCUCUUAGACCUUGUAGAAUGAAGGGGUCCUAAGGUACAAGGGAGAUGAACCUUGUUUGUCAUUUUACAGAAGGCAGAGGUUGAACAGCUUGAAGAAAACCCCAGGGCUCUCAAAACCUCUUGGUGGGAGCGAAAGAUAUGUGCUCUUUGUGAACUAUCCAAGCGCAUUUUUGUAAACGUGGAGCAUUCGGGCUAAAAUAGAAUCUUGGCUACAUUUUCUCUGUCAAUGGCCUGAGAGAAGGGAGCACUCUCUCAUCAGGCCCAGGGAUGGAAAAGCUGGCGCCCAGCCUAGAAUGGAGAUUUCUGAGUUUCAGAGAAACGGUGCAGGGAGAACGUCCCACGAGAAGCGGCUGAUCAGUGCAGUGUGCCUUUGCUCAAACACGCUUUCCCAGCUGAGCCCCACCCCUCCACUCCAACCCUCCCUGGCUGUUUUCUGCUCUGUUGGCUCCUCUGUGGCCUCGUUUUGGUCCAAUUCUGCUUGAGGAUCUUACUGUGCAGGGUUUCAAAGUAAUUCUGCAAAUGUGCACACAUCUCCUGAUUUAUGGACCAGAAGGCAGGGGAAACCUGUCCAGCAUUAAGCGCAUUCGUGAGAACAGACAUUUUAUAACAGCUGAUUAACUGUGUGCCAGGCCCAGUACAAGCACCCUGCAGAUACUAACAUACCUCCUUCUCCUCACAAAAAGGGGUGUGUAUGUGCUGCACUUGUCAACAUUCUACAGACAAAAAGACUUAGGCACAAGAUAUUACAUAACUUGCUCAAGCAAUGGAGUCUGUAUUUCAGGUCUACUUUGUGGUGCCGGAGCUCAUUUGUAGGCACAAUAUUAUAGCUCACACAUUGCCUAUUUCCUAGGGUCCCCUGAAAAUCAGACAGAACACUGACAAGGGCAUCCUUUAAUGAUCCAGCACAUCAGAACUAGAAAUGUUUGAGUAUGCUUUUGCUAGAUGCUUCUGACCCCCAAGUUACAAUGGAGAGGAUCUUGUAUUCCUUCCUUUUCUCCCUGUUCCUGCCCUUUCUCCCCUCCCCCCAAUCUCUUUCUCCCUGGUUCCUCCCUUCUUCCUGAUUAUUUGUCUUUUCACAUAGUGAUGUUGAUUUGCUUUCUUAGGUGAAGAAAUGUUGCAAGCUUAUCAAGAGUCACCUGACUGGAAGGCCCAGCUUGAACAAUUGUAGCAACAUCCUGACCAGCUACCUCGAGUGGACUCUUUUCAGAAGGGGCUUAUCCAGUGGACCGGGAGGUGUAGGGUAUAAGUAGAUGUGCUAGCAGAGCUCUGGAAAGUGAGCAUUGCAAAUGACACCAUUGGCCUGGAAGAUGGAGAUGAUAAAGAGACAGCAACUUCAGCAAAUUAACAGGCUGAAAGUCCAGAAUAGAAGAGGAGUUGGCUUCACUGAAUGGCUUUGGCCUUUUUAAAAAAAAAAUUGGUCAGACUAUUGUUGAUGUGCAUGUUAUUUCAGUUAAUUGGAAUCAAGAGCUGAAGCCUGCAAUACCUCAUGUAUUGUUUAAAUUUUGUCUUCAUUUCCAAUAAAACAAAGCGGUAAUCGUA